Molecule: ribosomal RNA, 433 nt
Filed under: uncultured bacterium
Lineage: Bacteria
Description: partial 16S ribosomal RNA
Rfam family: Bacterial small subunit ribosomal RNA
Source: RNAcentral
AACGAACGCUGGCGGCAUGCCUAACACAUGCAAGUCGAACGAGACCUUCGGGUCUAGUGGCGCACGGGUGCGUAACGCGUGGGAACCUGCCCUUAGGUUCGGAAAAACUCCCCGAAAGGGGUGCUAAUACCGGAUAAUGUUUUCGGACCAAAGAUUUAUCGCCUUUGGAUGGGCCGGCGUUGGAUUAGCUAGUUGGUAGGGUAAAAGCCUACCAAGGCGACGAUCCUUAGCUGGUCUGAGAGGAUGAUCAGCCACACUGGGACUGAGACACGGCCCAGACUCCUACGGGAGGCAGCAGUGGGGAAUAUUGGACAAUGGGCGAAAGCCUGAUCCAGCAAUGCCGCGUGAGUGAUGAAGGCCUUAGGGUUGUAAAGCUCUUUUACCCGGGAUGAUAAUGACAGUACCGGGAGAAUAAGCGCCGGCUAACUCCGUG